Molecule: long non-coding RNA, 24548 nt
Filed under: Lotus japonicus
Lineage: Eukaryota; Viridiplantae; Streptophyta; Magnoliopsida; Fabales; Fabaceae
Description: long non-coding RNA (LJAP_LNC001207)
Source: RNAcentral
UUGAGGGUGUUUUUCAUUUUUCGGUUCUAUUAGCUGGGGGUAUUUUUGGUUUCCGAUUCUUUUAACCUAAUGAGGGCCCUGAAAAACAAAACUUUCAUUUUGUACUGCCCUCUUCCACCUCUCUUCUCCUUUAGAUCCUUACUCCUGCACCUCCACCACUUGGACCACCUUCCGGCGUUUUAGGAUGACUUUUCCGUCCUCGUUUCUCCUUCUCUUGUGUAGCUGCCGCUAUGCUCCGCUAUCCGGUAUUGACAAGCCUUGUUUUUAGCUGUUUUUGUUUAUCUGACUUCAUUUUGGCCAUUCUUUCGGUGCAGCAUAUUGCAAACCUUGCAGGUAACCAAAGGAUUGUUUUGCCUGUUCCCUCAUUCACUGUCAUCAACAGGGUAUCACAUGCGGGAAACAAACUUGCUACGCAGGUCUGCUUUCAAAAACUGGUCUGUAUGUGUGUGUGAGAGAGAUAAGUAAUGCUUAAUAAAUUUCUAUUACACCUGCCUAUGCAGGAGUUUACUAUUCUUCCUUUGGAUAGUUCCAAUUUCAAGCUUGCUAUGCAACAGGGCAUGCGAACACAUGCACGAGCAGUGGCGGAACUAGAAAUUUUAGGAAGCCUAGGCAAAUUUUAUGAUUAAGUCCCUAAACUUUGCAUUUCCUUAUAAAUUUGUCUUUUCUCUAAUUUUUUUUUAGGCCAAAAAACCUACCUAGUCCAAAGAAAUUUGUAUUUUUUUUACUUUGAGCCAGGGCAUUGGACCUACCAAGCCCUGUGUUAGGUCCGCCACUGUGCACGAGUCCAUGUCAGUUUUGCAUAUUACAGUCAUUCCGCUUUCCCAGAUACGUUCUCUAAAUGAAUUUUUUUCAUUAUUUAGUUGUUAAGUUUUGGUUACGUCAUUUCAGGGUGAGAUUGCUAUGAAAUACGGUAAUAAGGCAGUACAAUAUUGUGACGAAGGUGGAUUCGCCCUGAACAUCAAGGUAAAUAAUGGUUAGUAACAUUUUUUUUUCUUUUUACGAAUGGUACUUGGAUACCUGCUUUCAUAUUCUGGCCAGUUACUGAUGAGCUCUUAAAUGAUCAGGAAAAAGAAUGUUUGGAAUUGCUGGAAAGUGCCAUUGACAAAAGUAAAUGAACCCUUUUUCCCAUUUGUAAAUAUGGUGUUGAUUAUUUUUGUGAAUUAUUUGAUUGUUAUGGCUCAAGCAAGGAAUUGUUAAAUGUGGAAGUUUUAAACGUAAGUAACCCAUUUCCCGCCAAGAAAGUCCUCUUUAGAACUAAGGUCGGAGUCAAAAUCCCUCCCCGGCGUCCUCCCCUUUGAGCCUAAUCCAUGUGCUGCUGAUUCUGGUGCCAAAACCAAGGAUCUAUAGAACUCAGAAACUUAAAGAAAUGAUUCUCCACCAGCUGUUGCAAUUUUUGGUCUGACUUUGAGCGAGAUUGUUUUGGUUUCUUCUAGCAUAUCCCUUCUGUUUCUUGCUUCCUUUCUCUUUUUUUAUAUAAUGUUGAUUUUCAGAUACAAGGUAAAACCUCUUUUAUCCAUUGUUGAGAGAUGAUCGAAGCUUGACUUGGUGAAGGACUCUCGAAAGCUACCACUUGGAAGCUUUUGUUUUCCUCUUUUAUGGAUAGGUUUUUGUUAAUUUAGGUGGCUUUUUUUGCGGGAUUUAGAAUUGAGGAAUUUAAGUGCUUAUUUUUCAUUCCCCUUUUUCUUCACAGGAACUACCGGAGUUCCAGCAAGUGAAAGGAUGAGAUGAGAAAGUCAGAUACAAGUAGGCUGCAACAUUAUCAUGGAGAAUAUGCAAUCAUGGAACUGUAUUCUACUUAAAUUGAACGGUGGAACAAUUUAAUUUUCAGCUUUGCGGAGUUUGCAUGUUAAUUGGUUCUUCUUGGACAACAAAUUUUGAUAGCUUAAACAAAAAAAGAGCUACUUCUUAUGAAUCAGUAAAAUUAGUUUUGUUAAUCUUUCCAUCUUAUUUUUUUUUUUAGCUAUUUUUUUGCUUUGCCUUAGAUAAGCAAUGCAACUCAUUCAAGACGAGAGCUAUUCUGGUGAAGGAAGUACUAUAGAAGAGUGCUUCUGGAAUCAUUGUGAUAGUGAACCCUCAGAAGGUAUACUAGGCAUUGAUAUAUAUUUUUAUUAGUUCAAAAUAUGCAGCAUUUUGCAUAAUACUCAUUCUAUAUGAUAUUAACCUUUGAGCAAAGAGUCACGCACAUUAAGCUUGGGGACGUGAAAAGUGAGAGGAAGUAUAUUGCAUGGUCUUCACCUCAAGGCUUGCAUCUUAUUAAAAUGGACAAGGAGGGUUUGGUGGGAUGUUGAGAAAUAAUGUUGGCGCGGUGUGGGGAUAUUUUUCCAAAUCAAUGAAGGUAUGCAGGGCUGAUGAGGCAGAGGUGUUAGCGAUUUUACAUGCACUUUUAUUUUGACAACAAUUUAAUGUGUUUCAGGUGGCAUUUGGGAGUGACUCUUCACUUGUAGUAGGUUGGGGCCGGGGUAUGGUGGCUCACAAACGAAUUUCAUUGAAUUGAUUAUCUUAUGACGCUUGGUUUUUGUUAUGAUGUUAGUCAUAUUCUAAGAGAGGGAAAUUCUGAGGCCGAAGUUUUGGUCAAGGAAGGGGACAGGGGGUUGCAAGCAACCUGUGUAGGUUUUUCAUGGGCAUAUUGCUUUGUAAUUAAUAUUCGACUUUUGAGACUUGGUUCUCUUUUAUCUUCAUGAAUAAAGUUGGGUUUUCAAAACAAUAAAUAAAAAAUUAUUAUUUUCAAUUUAUUUGGUUUCUAAAUGUUUCCUCACAGUUGAUAUCCAUGAUUAAUCCCCUCGAAACUCUACGAUCACGUUAAGUGAAUAGAUCUCUCACAACAAAAAUUUAUACAACUUAGGUCAUUAUUAUUUUUCUCUAUUAUGCUUCCUCAAUUAAUUUUUACUAAUAUAUCAUAGAUAAAAAAUAUUUAAAUAUUUUUCAAUAAUGCACAUAUAUGUUAUAGUUAAUAUUAAAUACAUUUUAGCGGCAUUUUUUUCCUUUUACUAAUAUAUCAUAGAUAAAAAAAAAGACCUAGUCUAUUUGGUAACUAAUAUCAUAAUUUCACGUAAUGCACAUACGCUUAAUAAGCUAAAACAAACUCCACAUGACUUAGGCGUUUGGUGACAGAACGGAACAUGACAUAACAAUACGGAACGGGACAGAACAGGAUGGAACAAGACAAUAAUGUUCUAUGUGUUGUGUUUGGUAACUCCUAGUCAUUAGAACAUAACCAUAAUUUUAAUUACAUAUAUAACCCUGCAUGUUUAAUAUUUGAUUGAGGAUAAAAAAAUUGAACAUGCAUAGAAACUGUUUGUUAUUGCUUAUUUCAUGAAAUAAUCACUUAUUUCUUUAAAAUAAUCACUUAUAUAUUAUUUAAGUUGUUUCAGUGUGCUUUUAAAAAAAUACAAAAUUUGAUUAUCUCUUUAAGCUAUUUUAAGUGCGUUUGUUUAGAUUAAUUUUUAGAGAUUUUGAGAAAAGCAUAAGUUGAUAUGUGUUUGACUACUCUAAUUAAAAUCGCUUUUUUUUUGAAACAAAAGAUUGUAUUAAGAUAAAGGGAAUUAUGAUUUCUUCACACCUCAUUUUGAGGUGGAAGGAGGUGGAGGAGGAGAGAGAUAGGAAGAAAAGAAAAAGUAUGAGAGAGAAAGUAUGAGAUGUGAUAGAUGAUAAGAGGAGAGAGGUAGAAACAAAAAUAGGUGGAAAUGAAGUGUUUAAAAGAUGAGGUGUGUAUAUAUCAUUACUCAGAUAAAGGUAAUUCAUGAGAACAAUCCUUUCAAGUAUAGAUUGGGUAAAAAAAUAAAACAAGGAAAAUAAAGAACAUACACCCCAAGCCCAGCCAAAAACAAUUCUAGGCCAAGCUACCCUUAGUGCUAUUUUGGUGUCUAAGAUAACUUAUGAAGAGCCUCAUUAAAACCCCCUUAGGAAAAAUCCAGUGAGAAAAAUCCUAAGGGGAAAAAAAGAGUACUCAAACAUAAACUAACAAAAAAAAAAAACACUAACCAGCGACUACAAAAUAAUAUCAAAUAUAAUGCACCAUAUAUCUUAUAGGCACUGUUGCAAAAAGUAGAUAGAUUCACUUUGACAGCAACUUCUCAUUCCAAAUUCUUUGAUCAACCGUGCAGUUUCAUGGCCCAUGGCAUAGAAUCAGAUAGCAUCAUCCAAAAGAGCGUUAAUUCAUUCUGUUUGGUUCAAGCUCCAAUAGAACUAUUCCAGUAGUAUAGAUCCUUCCGGGCAUUGGCGCCACGUUUGGCCAAGGCAUCAGCUGACAUAUUUGCUUCCCUAAAGAUAUGUCUAACCAAAAAACAGUUAACAAGAUGGACCAGCAUAUCAUUCUGAUUCAGAAUGUUGAUUAGUUUCCAGGGACGAUUUCUACUGCAAUUUACCCAAUUGACGGCCAAAGUUGAGUCGCUCUCAAUUAUGACAUUAUGAAUUGAGUGCUGGUGGCAUAAUUGUAAUGCCUCAAAAAUUGCCAAUACCUCUGCUUCAAAUGCAAAACCUAUCCCAAUGUUCUUUGAAAAGAACCCUUUAAUUUCAUUCUUGUGAUUUUUCAGAAUUCCCCCAAUUCCGCACAUCCCAGGACUCCCCUUAGCUGCACCAUCAACAUUUAUUUUUAGAAUUCCAGCAGAGGGUGGGAGCCAAGUUGAAAAUCUCCUUCUUGACUCCUUAGGCAUCAAUCGGAUAUUCACAAAGUCCCUAUUAAAUUGUUCCAAUUCAUAAGGACAGCUACGGUUUGCAGCUUUUAUCCACCUCCCAAUGUGUAAGAGAUGCAUUUCCCACAUGUUCUGCACACUGCAGCACUUCCCAUUAAAACAAGCUCCAUUUCUUUCAAUCCAUAUAGUCCAUAUUAAUGCAUAUGGAAUCAUGUUCCAUAAUGUACCAUCUGACACUUUAGGAAGAUCUCCCCAUUCCAAAAGCAAUUGAUUAAGAAACAAAGGUACAGCCCAAGCAAAGCCUUCUCUGUUCACAAUUGCAUUCCAUAGUUGCCAAAUCACUCUACAGUGGAGAAACAAGUGCUCAACAGUUUCAAUAUGUUGAUUGCAGAAAACACAAUUGUUCACACCAUUCAGAUCAAUACCUCUGGCCACCAGAUUAGCUUUUGUAGCAAUUUUAUUCUGCUGGGCUUGCCAAACGAACAAGCACACUUUUGGUGGAGUCAGCUUUUGGAUUGCACACGGUACCUGCCAGUCUUUUAUCAUCAUUUGAUCUUCAGCUCAUCUGCACAAAUCUUUUACAGAAAACAUUCCAUUUUGAUGCAAGCACCAAAUAAUCGAAUCCCUCUUGCCAACAGAAGGAAAAAUCAUGUUGACCACUCUAUUAAAUUCUUCAAAUAUCUCCAAUUCCCACUCGAAACCUAUUCUCUAUCAUAAUAGCUUUUUAUGAUAAGUUAAAAGUAGUUUUUUCAAAUAACUUGUUUUCAGUUUUUAAAAAAACACGAAACGAACAUAAAAUGAUUUUUUGAAUUUAAAAAGUGAUUUUGGAUUAAAAUAAGUGAUUUUUUUCAUCAAAAAAUUGAUUUUUCUAAAAUAAGUUGUUGAAUCAAACGAACUAUAGUUGGCUCGUUUGUCACUGCUUAAAAAAUGUGAUUUUACUUUUGACAAAAAUAAUUGAUUUUAUUUUAAGUGAUUUUUUUGAAAAACAGAAAUUAUUUAACUUUGUCGACAAAUAUAAUAAGUACUUUUCACUUUAAGAAGUUAUUUAAAACUAUUUAGAUACAAAAAAUUUCAAAUACAAAUUAGGGGUAUUUUUAACUGUGUAAAAAUUUUGAGAGAGUGUUCUGUUUCGUUCUCUUCCGUUUCACCCUUUUCCAUGAACCAAAGUGUCUCGUUCCUAGAGCUUUUUGAACUGUUCUGUUCCAUCUUAAAAGCAUGACAAACACAAAACAUAACCCAUAUGUCAUGUUUCGUUCACUUGCCACGUGUUUACCAAACGCUACCUUAAUGUUGUUGUACAAUAUUUUAAUAGAAGCUUUUUUGUUUAGUAUCCAGAUACCGGUAGGAUUUUAUUUCAAAAAAAAAAAAAAGAUACCGGUAGGAUUUUGUAACGCCCCGAAUUUCGGGUGUCACUUUAGUAACCUAUUAAAGUAAAUAUGCAAUAUUUUCCAAAAGAAUGUAUAAACACGAGUAUAUAUAUAUUUUUUCAAAUGUAUUUCCAAAACAUGUCAUGCAUACUCCCAACUAUAAAGAGAUUUACAUCAAGCCCUAAACAAGGUGAGUACCCGAAACCUCAAAUAUAAAUUUCUAAACCCGUUAUGCAAGCUUAAACCAAUAAUGGUUAGCUCUCUAACUCAAGGCUCUAACUCUACACCCGACUCUAUUCUUCAAGUCUUCCAUAGUUCUUCAAGUUCUCCUCUCCGACUCGUACGAAGGUUAAGCUUCAUCGAAGAUUCUCCAUCGCCUAAUAGCGUUAAGCGCCCAAACAACAAGUAGCAAACAGAAAGGGUUAACUCCAUGCAAUUACCAAGUAUAAAAGGGAAAAGCAUGCUAUUCAAAUUUAAGUGCAUAUCAUGGCACAUAAACUAGCAACUUAAUUCAAGAUAGAUGACGACAUAUAUUCAACAAUAUAGAUUUAAAUCAACUAUCAACAACUUCAACAAUAUUUCUACUCAGAUAUCAAUAACUUAACAACGUAUAUGUUAAUUCAGAUAUCAACAACUUAACAAAGUAACAUUUAUUCAGACAUCAACUUAACAACAUAUAACAGCUCAGAUAUCCACAACCUCCACAGUAUAGAAUCAAAUCAUAUGAUAAUAAUCUCAACAAUAUAACAUCAAAUCAAAUAACAACAACCUCAAUCUAAAUCAUCUAAUCAGAUGUCGACAACCCCAACAAUAUCACAUCAAACCUUAUAUCAACGACCUCAACAAUAUAACAUCAAAUCAGAUAUCAGUAACCUCAACAAUAUAACGACAAAUCAGAUAUCAAUAAUCCUCAACAAUAUAACAACAAAUCAGAUAUCAAUAAUCCUCAACAAUAUAACAACAAAUCAGAUAUCAAUAAUCCUCAACAAUAUAACAUCAAAUCAGGUAUCGACAAUCCCCAACAAUAUCAAUCAAACAAUAACGUCUCGCAAGACGGGACAGUCCUGUGAAAAUAUCCACUCCACUGUCACUAAGUAACGCCUCGAAGGACGGAAUAGUCAUGUGAAAACAUGCACUCCACUGCCACUUGAUAACGUCUCGCAAGACGGGACGAUCACGUGGGACAAUCACCACCACACCGCCACUUAACGCCACAUGGACGGGACAAUCACGUGGGACAAUCACCACCACAUUGCCACUUUAGGACAUCUCGAAAGAUGGGACGAUCACGUGGGACAAUAUCCACCACAUCGCCACUUUAUAACGCCUUGGUAGACGGGACAAUCACGUGGGACAAUCACCACCACAUUGCCACUUCAAGUUCAAGCCGUAAAUGUCAAGUUAGUCAACAACAAUCCUCAACCUCAGUAAUCACUCAAACAACAGUCUCAAAUCCAACAAUCAAAUCAAGGUAACCACAUGUUAUUCAUAACCUCAACAAACAUAAAUCAAUUCAAUGCAUACCAACUCAGUUCAAUGACAGAAACCAGUAAACGGCCGAAGCCUCUCAGAAAACGGAGACACACGUCUCAAUAAGUUUACUCGGCCGAAGCCUUCAUAAAACAUUUGGCACAAGCCUCAGAAACAGAAACAGUCAAUAUAAGCAAGCAUACAACAUUGCAAGCAUAAUAAUCACAAUCCAAUGCCAAUCAAUAUAAACAUCUUCAUCUCAAACGUAGGCAGUGCGAUAAAAGCAGGCAAGACUCAAAGACGCUCUAAAACUGAGUUACUCUUACCUUAGCCAAUUUCUCCAUCCAAGCUCAACAUCCCAGUCCAAUCCAAAAUAAAGCUCCCGAACCCAGUAAGUUCCCCGGGCGUCCUCCUCAAUUGUGAAACCUCACCAAUUGCUCCAAAGUCUCUUUCCUCAGCUCAACUCGUUCCAAACCUUAAGCAAAGUAUCAUUGCUUAGUCGCUAAGAAACAAAACAACUAAUAACACUAUCAAAACCCGAAAAGAAGCUUUUGAAGCUCUAGAGUUCGACAUUUAGGCACGAAUGGACAAUAAGACAGGUUUUCGCUAAAAUGCGCAUAACUCGAGCUACAGAACUCGGAAUGACACGAAACCAAUGCCAAAAUUUCGACAAUUGAAAGAGCUACGCAAUGGCUUAGGUCAUACAGACCCAAAAAUUAUUUUUGGACACGGUACCCUAACAAACAGGUUUCGGCCACUUUAGAAAAUAGGGUUUCCGAACUUUUUCUUCGAUCUAAAUCAAUUCCUAGGUAUUCUUAGGCGAUAUCUAGGCCAGGGAAACUCUCAGAAAAAUUAUCGGAUCGAAAACUAGAACAGGUGUAUUUUGGUCAAGAUUUUUAGCUCGGAAACUCAAAAUCGGAAUUUCGAAAAAUAAAUUGGAUGAGGUCGAUGCCCACGACGUUUAUGACAACUAAUCCUACUGAAGUCAAGCUCAGUCGAGAGUUUUUUAUUCAAAAAGCGGAACCUCAACAUAAAAAUGGGUAUUUCUACAUAAUUUGAUCUCUGCGGAGAUUCGGCGAGAUUCAGCAGAAAACAACUGGAUAUUCAUGUUCUUGGGCAUGCAGGGAAUAAGUUUAGACAGAGAAAUCAAGUUAUUUGGACAGUUUUACAAAAAGCUCAAAACUUUGAGCACAGAAAGACAUAGAGAAAAGCGACAGAAUUUACGAUCAGAGGUAAGGAAAAGUAUCAGUACCUCGAGGCCUACGCGUAGCAACGAACUGUGCGACGAUCAGACAAGAAUCAGCGUAAAGCUCUCCUCCCUUUCUCUCCUCCUUGGCCGCGGGUUGUGUGUGUUGGUGGUGAUGUUUUUUUUUGUUUUUAUUCAAGCUAUUUAUAGGAAAUGGAAAAUGCGGGAAAAUGAAAAUUUCGCGAUUCUGAUUUUUCCUGGGCAUUCCUCUAUGAAUUCUAAGAUAGGUUCUGGCAACAGAAUUUCAGAACUCAAAACAGGUUUCUCAGAAUUAAAGCAAACGAUCCAAAGUCGGUGUAAAUCUAUUUUACCCGAAAACUUACUUUUUGCAGUUGAUGUCGGAUGAGAAAACUUCUUUCUGAAGAAAGAUUAGAAACUUCGAAAGAAAUAGGUGUUCGAGUGUGGAAUCUUCGUUUGAAGCUCCGAAUAGAAAAAGUCUUCAUCGACAGUUUACUUUAAGGUUCUUGAGCUAUCAGGGAUUCAGUUUCGGCAAACCUCCGAGAAUCGGAAACGAUAAUUCGUACAUUCCAGGGUUUCGUGUCGAAACACUCGUCAGGGAAAGGAAUAUGAGAAAUUCUUAUAAUCCUCUGAAUAUUUUUGAAUUCUGCUUCUACAGUGCUUUAAGAGCGAAUUAGCCUUUUACUAACGCUUUCGCCCUAAGGCGGAAGUGAAUAAAGCUCGUGCUAUAACCUAUAGCGACAAUAGUACUAUUCUUAGUUGUUUCCUGAACUUUCUCCUUCAUAAUACUAAUCCAAACAUCAACCAUAAGUCAAGUUCCUCUCACGCUGACACAAAAUCCUAUGCGUGAGUUGGAAAUUAAUUAUUUAUUAUUUAUUCAAUUCUAAAAUCCUGGGUCUUACAGAUUUGAACCCUCGACUUGGAGAAGUCUAAUCCAUCAAGUACCAUUUAAGCUAUUCAUACCAGUAUAUUUUAAUAGAAGCUGUCCACCGCAGGUGAAAAAAAAAGAGGAAUUUGUGCCUUCUCUCUAAAUUCGAACACAUGACUUGCCAAAAAAAAAAGAUUUUCUCAUGACAACACGUGUAAUUUUAAUUUGUAUAAGAACUCAGUAUAUCUUAUUUUUUAUAUGUAUUUUCGGUUGUAAUAGGUUGAACCAAUGACUUAGUGGUUAAACCAUUGAUGGGUGAAUAUUAUUAUUAUUAUUAUUAUUAUUAUUAUUAUUAUUAUUAUUAUUAUUAUUAUUAUAAAAUAAGGUGAUUUGAAAAUUUAAGGAGGAAGAAAAUAUGCUUAUGAAGAGAAUGAUUAUCUUAGGGUCAAAGUUCUGAACAUAUUAGUGCCUUAAUAUAGGAUUAUUAGAAAUUAAAUUAAAGGAAAAUCAAAUAAAAUAUAAUACUUUGACAAAUGAUGAAAAAUUUAAACAUCAUUCACACACACCUUGACAAAUUCAUAGACUUGACUAAUUAAGCUGCAAUCAGAGGUAUUAAAUGGUGAUUUAGUGAAGAACACUUGUCUUCAUGGUGAAGUGACAAGUCCAAGAACACUUGUCUUUGUGCAUGCACUUUCAUGGCCACUUGUCCUUCAACUUUCUUCAACAUUUGCCCUAUAAAUUCGACAUUUCUGCAGCCCUAAGGUCACACCACACCUUACACUCAACCUUGCUUCAGAAAUCAGAGAGAAGAUCUCAAUUUUCCUUACAAACCUUCAACUUGUUCUUCACUUUCUCCUUUUGUUCUUCACGAAAUUCUCUUUCUAUUUCUCUAAAACCACUUCAAUUAUGUUUCUGGGUGUGUGAGGAUUAAAUCUGGAGAGUUUGGCAAACUUCUGGGCACAAAAUCAUCAAUUCUGGGUUCAAUCUUCAACUUGUUCUUCAUCUUCAACCUUCUCAAAUCACUCAAAAACCACCACCAUCAUGUUCCUAGAAGCCUAAAUAUCAAUUAUGGAAAGUUUUAUAAAAUUCUGGGUUGAUUUGGGCUAUUUAUGGGCUUAAUAUUCAAGUUGGGCAUCGUGUUCAUCGCUGCCACCGUGUUGUCCAGUUUUCCGGCAAGAAUCGUCAACUUAAAACGUGUUUUUCUCCCUCUUCCGAACUAUGGUUGCGACGAUUCAAAAGCCUUUGUUCUUCUGGAAGAAAGGAGAAUCUGAAUCUGUGAUCCAUUUAUCUCCGGCGAGGAACGCUGCCGCCGCAUCUUCAUAUUCUCGGCGAGUUAAUUUCUGGAAAUUUCCAGAUUUGCAAUUUUCAGGUUCUUUCACUUCCCGAACCUAUUUUUAAGCUUAUAUUAAUAAUUUUAAGCAUGAAAAACAUACAUUACAACCCUUAAUUCAUGAAAGAUUGGACUUUAAGCUUAAAUGGUCUAAAAAUGGUGAUUUUCAUGAUUAUCACAACUUGGAAUUUUAUCUUUAUGUGAUUUCUUAAACUGGAAACAUUAUGAUUAUGUCAAAAUGAUGCAUAUUUUGUUAGCUUUUUCUUAUCUUAAUUUAUGGAAUUAUUAGUGAUUAACUAGUCAAAUUAAGUGGGAAAUGUCUAACAAAUCUCAAUGGUGAAAUGCUCAUCUAAGCUAAUCUGGAAUUGAUGGUGAAAUGUUUAAGCACGAAGGAACUAAAGUGAAUAACUAACCUAAGUGUAUGGGAGCUAAUUAGUUAAGAGAAAUUAAUUAAUGACUAAAUUAACUUAUCCAAACAAAUUAAGGAUUUAUCAACGAGAAUCAUUACUUUUUCUCAUCAUUAUAAGGCUAUGAGUUUAAGAAAGAUUGAAAUGGUUAAGUAACAAAAGGGAAUGGAAGGUAAUUAAGAAGCGCAUGUUUUCAUGAAGUUAUAGACAAAGUGAAUUGUAACCAUAAUUCUAUGCAGAGGAAACUCAUGAGGAUUGACGGAUACGAUAAUUAUCUAAGAACUAAGGUAAGAUGGGGAGAGGUCACCAACCAUGAUGGAGGAAUAAUACGAAUAAAUGAGUAUUGGACCCUCCUUAGGUCCUUUGUCGGUUGUUUGUUGUGAAUUUGCCUUAACUUGUAUGCUUUAUGUCGUUGAUUGACUAAGUGGUUAAGAAGAUUGAAGUGGUAUUUGUCUCUUGAUGAUUUAUGUGAUUUGGAAUUAUAACCCUGAUUGUCUUGAUAGAUUAGUCUUGGCUCUGUGAGCAAGGUGAUGUUGAUAGCCUUGGCUCCAUGAGCAAGGUGAUGUUGAUGGAUUAGCCUUGACUCUGUGAGCAAGGUGAUGUUGAUGGAUUAGCCUUGGCUUUUUUAGCAAGGUGAUGUUGAUAGAUUAGCCUUGACUCCCUGAGUAAGGUGAUGUUGAUGGAUAAGUCUUGACCUCGUGGACGAACUUAUGUAACCCUCUGGCUGCAUGAGCAGAGGUGUGAUUGAUGAUUUGUUCCUUGGCUCCAUCAGCAAGGAUGUAUGUGCACACAUGAUUUCUCUUGGCCCUGUAAGCAAGAAUGAUUCUAAGGGAUUCCCUUGGUCCCGUGGACAAGGAUUUCGAUCUUGGCUCCGUGAGUAAGAACGAUGUCUUGAUCCUGUGGACAAGGUUUUCUUUGGCUCUGUGAGCAAAGCCAUAUGAUUUUUAUGUCUGAUUUUGGAUUUCUUGGUGGAAAUGAACAUGAUAUGUCUGUUGAUGUGUGGCUCAUUUAUGUUACGUUAUUCCCUGAUGGGAUUGAGUUGGAAUGCUUCUCACCCCUCUGUUGUUUGUUUUGUUGUUUUUCUCCUCUUUUAUCAGUGACAGGCACUGAAGAUGGAGAUUGAGUUGUUGAGAGAUGUGGGGCAAGACUUUGGGCGUAGAUCGAGUUUUGUGCGCCAAAGUUACUAAGCCAUGGUAGAUAUCGGUGGGUAAGAGUUUAGGAUUCAGGAUCAUGCAUUUUGUGUACACCAGGAUUUACUCUUUGACUAUACGACUUAGGGAAGAUGCUAAUUGGAAUUUUAAUUCGGAGAUAUAUCUAAGUCUUGAUGUUGUCUUUAAUAUAGAAAAGUUUUAAAUUUCUUGUCAAGUAAUGUAUGAGUAGAACUAAAUUUGCAUCACAAGUUUGGGUGUCACACGGUACCUAGACCGAAUCGAGUUUAAUAAUUGUCAUGUAGGUUUUUUUUUUGUUCGAAACAUCAUAAAGUUAAAUUGCAUCUUCCAAUGACUGAACCCUUGACCUCUCUCACCCAACUCAUAUGUCCUCUAGCUCUUAGCACUUGAGUUAUCAUUUGGGGACAUGUAGGUUCAUUGUUGAGUAAAUAAAAUUUUAAAAAAAAUCGAUUAAAUAAAACUUUUCAAGAAUAAAAAAAAGGAAAUUUUAUUCUUUUCAGAAACAAUUUUACAUUUGAGUUUAACAGAAGGAAGUUUCUCGAACGGAAGGAAGUUUCAUUCACAAGAGGCUGAAAACCUUUCCCACACAAUGGAAGGCAUCUCGUGGAGGAUCCAUGCACGCCUCUUCCGUGGCAAUAGAAACGUGGUAACCAUCAGGAGCAUCAAUGCAAGGCAGGUCUUCGACAAGCGUGGCAAUCCAACCAUCCAGGUUGGCUUCCUCUUCCUCUUCCUCUUCCAUUUCCACACUUGCUAUUUUCUCCCCUCCCUCUUCUGACUAUCACUGCAGGUGGAUUUGACAUGCUCCGAUGAUACUCUCUCUACUUUUGUCCUCCCAGUAUCAAGCGGUGUAUCUACUGGUAUUCUUCGCUCAUUUUCCUUAGAAGCGCAAGUGUCUUUAUUUGUUUAAUUCUCUGUGUUUGUCUACUUCUCAGACUUUGUGCUUGUCUUUAAAUCCGAUGGCAUUUUCUCUUUUCUUCUAGUAUAGCACUUUCAAAAUUGACUGUGACUGAAAUAGGGCUGGUAGAUAUAGCUACUUUAAAUGGUACCGGCGCUACUUUGGUUGGGUAUGGGAGGCUGCUUACCUCCAACUUAAUCCUAUGNNNNNNNNNNNNNNNNNNNNNNNNNNNNNNNNNNNNNNNNNNNNNNNNNNNNNNNNNNNNNNNNNNNNNNNNNNNNNNNNNNNNNNNNNNNNNNNNNNNNNNNNNNNNNNNNNNNNNNNNNNNNNNNNNNNNNNNNNNNNNNNNNNNNNNNNNNNNNNNNNNNNNNNNNNNNNNNNNNNNNNNNNNNNNNNNNNNNNNNNNNNNNNNNNNNNNNNNNNNNNNNNNNNNNNNNNNNNNNNNNNNNNNNNNNNNNNNNNNNNNNNNNNNNNNNNNNNNNNNNNNNNNNNNNNNNNNNNNNNNNNNNNNNNNNNNNNNNNNNNNNNNNNNNNNNNNNNNNNNNNNNNNNNNNNNNNNNNNNNNNNNNNNNNNNNNNNNNNNNNNNNNNNNNNNNNNNNNNNNNNNNNNNNNNNNNNNNNNNNNNNNNNNNNNNNNNNNNNNNNNNNNNNNNNNNNNNNNNNNNNNNNNNNNNNNNNNNNNNNNNNNNNNNNNNNNNNNNNNNNNNNNNNNNNNNNNNNNNNNNNNNNNNNNNNNNNNNNNNNNNNNNNNNNNNNNNNNNNNNNNNNNNNNNNNNNNNNNNNNNNNNNNNNNNNNNNNNNNNNNNNNNNNNNNNNNNNNNNNNNNNNNNNNNNNNNNNNNNNNNNNNNNNNNNNNNNNNNNNNNNNNNNNNNNNNNNNNNNNNNNNNNNNNNNNNNNNNNNNNNNNNNNNNNNNNNNNNNNNNNNNNNNNNNNNNNNNNNNNNNNNNNNNNNNNNNNNNNNNNNNNNNNNNNNNNNNNNNNNNNNNNNNNNNNNNNNNNNNNNNNNNNNNNNNNNNNNNNNNNNNNNNNNNNNNNNNNNNNNNNNNNNNNNNNNNNNNNNNNNNNNNNNNNNNNNNNNNNNNNNNNNNNNNNNNNNNNNNNNNNNNNNNNNNNNNNNNNNNNNNNNNNNNNNNNNNNNNNNNNNNNNNNNNNNNNNNNNNNNNNNNNNNNNNNNNNNNNNNNNNNNNNNNNNNNNNNNNNNNNNUCCUCUCUAAGAUUGCAGAGGCAGAGCACUUUUGAUGCCCAUGUGCUUUCCUCAACCUAGGACAAGGAGAAGAUCGCUAAUCCUUGAGAAGAUGAUGGCUUCAUCUCGAGUAGACAUGGGCGAGUGGGCGACUUCAGCGUUGUCGCAAUCUAUUCUAAGAAGGUGACCUUCCUUUUUCUAGAACGAAGAAGAAGAUGAAUCACGAACAGAAUAAGACGUAGGAAAGAUAAGUUGCUUAUAAGUAAAAAGCUCAUCUCCAUAACUUUUUUUUCUUAAAAGUUACUUAUUUCUAUUUUAUGUUGUAAAAAAUAAGUAACUUUAAUUUUUAGAGCUUUUUAAAAAUUAUGUUUGACCUAACUUAUCUUAAAAGUAACUUAAAAGUAAAAAAAAAACUGGCGAAACACUACCUUAGAAAUUUAAUGUUUCUUGGCUCUGUUCCAUUUCUCUUAUCUAUGGUGCUAAUGAUAACUUUCAUAGCUUGUCACCAUAUCUGUUUCUAUUUGUUUUUUAUUUGAAAGCUGAAUCAAAUAUAUAUUAAAAAGCCUCAAAGGGAGCAAAGAGAUCACCGGUCCAGAAACAUUGCCUCAAAACAUAUGAAACCCUCCACUAUGGCCAUUAGAGAUCUUUGAGAAUGAGUUUCAAUAAAAUCUUAUUAGGAAAAACCCAGUAGGAUAAAAACCUAAUGAAGGAAAAAAGAGUGUUCAAUUCUCAAAGAGGCCAAAAAUACACACAGACAAAACCCCACCCUUCCUCUAGAAAAAAACAAUAUUACAUAACAAAUGUUUAGCUCCAAAUUCAGAAUACACGCAUGAAGCUAAUCUACUAGCUUUCUACAGCCCCUUCCUUUAUGCAUACUUAUGACAUGCCAUUAUACUAGCCAUCCCACCAUUCUUUCAAAUAGGCUGCAAUUCACCAUUUGUGCCCCUGCAAUCACGACAAACCACCUGCACAAGGGAACAAACACCCAAGCGAAUCAAAAGAUUUGCAUACCUCAAGCGUGACCCUCAUAUGUCUGGCUUGAUUUGUUUGGGAUCUGGUCAGUAUUAGUCAUUCUGGUAACUCUUGGUUGUUACCCUUGCCCUUUCUGGGCUGUUCAUAGUUUCUGUGAUGUGGUCUUUGUGAAUAACUCUGAAACUUUAAUGUGUUGGAAAUUAUAAACAGUAUUUUGAUGUGGAAUAACAACCUAUUUUUAGAACUAGUACAGGGAGAGGAUGGGGUCACAACUCGAGCCAGAAGGACGUGGUUGGUGGGAAAGGAGUUGGGGUUGAAAGCAAGAGGCUCAGAGGUUUGGAAAGCUCAAAUUUGUGAAAACCACCCAAACCUCAUUUGAUCUCUUGCAUGGGGAACCUCUAGUUAACAUGGAAUGUUUGUGGGUUAGGAGGUAGCUCAGUGAAACGUAAGGCAGUUAAGAAGGCAAUAGCACAAUGACGUUCGAAUCUUCUUCUAAUUCAAGAAACUAAAUUGAGUGAAGGGAAUUUUGGUUGGCAAGAAAUAUUCAAUGACGAGCAUUUAAUUUCCAGCGUCAAUUUAUAAUUUUAUAUGGGAUGCCCAAAAUCCAAAGGCUGCUCUUAUUAUUUCUAUCAAUUUGAGCAAAGAGUCACGCACAUUAAGCUUGGGGACGUGAAAAGUUAGAGGAAGUAUAUUGCAUGGUCUUCACCUCAAGGCUUGCAUCUUAUUAAAAUGGACAAGGAGGGUUUGGUGGGAUGUUGAGAAAUAAUGUUGGUGCGGUGUGGGGAUAUUUUUCCAAAUCAAUGAAGGUAUGCAGGGCUGAUGAGGCAGAGGUGUUAGCGAUUUUACAUGCACUUUUAUUUUGUCAACAAUUUAAUGUGUUUCAGGUGGCAUUUGGGAGUGACUCUUCACUUGUAACUAGAUAUUAUACCCGUGCGUUGCACGGGUUUACCAACAAUAUCUUUUAACAUAAAAAUAUUCAAUAAAAAUUAUUAUAGUUUAACUAAAUAAAAAUUAAAUAAUUUUAAUUAUAAAUAUUAAAAAAUUGUGUUCAGAAAUUUUAAUAAAUAUUAUUUAUAGUUCUUUUUGUAUAAAUAAUUAAUAUUACUAAAAUUUAAUUAGCAUAGAAAUAAUUUUAACAAUUAAAAAUUAUUUAUUUAAUAAUAUGAAAAUUUAUUAAGUUAAUUUGAAAUAUAUAAAUUACGUAAAAAAUAUUAAGUAAUAAGUGUUUAAUGUCAUGAAAUAAGUUUUAAUAUCAUUUUUUAUAUUUCUUACCUGAAAAGUCAUUUGUUGUGACAUAUCAAGACCAAGAAGAAUAAAUUAAUUUUAAAUUUUGGAAUUAUAAUAAGUGACGACUUCAAUAGCCUUUUGAUAAAAAAAAAAUAGCCUAAAAUAUUAUCUUGUGAAUUUAAUUUUGUUUCCAACUUAUUUGGUUUACGAAUGUUUUUUCACAGCCGAUAGUCAUGAGGCUAAUCCCUUGAGGCUCUACGAUGACGUUAAGUGGAUAAGCCUAGCUUCUCACAAUAAACAUUUGUUCAACUUUGACAAUUAUUAUUUUUCUCUAUUAUGCUUCCUUGAGUAAUUUUUACUAAUAUAUUAUAGAUCAAAAAAUAUAUUUAAUUUUUUUUAUCCAUAUUAUUUAAUAUUAAAUAAUUUAAAUUUUUAAUAUUUGUCAAAUGCUAAACUUAAGAUAAUUUUAGUGUUUUUUUCUAAAAAAGUCAAAAAAUUGAUGAAUUUUGUUUUUUAAUAUAAGUACUUGAAUAUUUUUUGACAAUACCAUUUUUUUUAAUAUAUUAUUACAAAUAAAAUUUAUUAUUUGUUAAUGUAUUUUAAUACAAAGGUAUGAGAGUUUUAUGGUUUAAGGUAUGUAAUGUAAAACUCAAGUCUCAUGUACAUCUAAAUAGAAUUUUUUAAUUUUAAAUCUUUAGAGUUUAAUGGAUAUGCACUGACAGUGUAAAAUAGUUUUACACAGUCAUCCAAUAAAAACAUGCCACAUAGGAGAGAUAAUUACAUUUGACUUUAAUUUUAAUUAAAAGAAUAAGAUAUUUUAUGAUUUGGCGGAAUUCAAUUGGAUGUCUGUGUAAAACUAUUUUACACUGUCAGUGCAUAUCCAUUAAACUCAAAUCUUUAUAUCUAAAUUUUUUUUAAUAAAUAUUAUUUUCUUAUUGAAUUUAAUUUUUAAUAUUUGUGAAAUACAAAAUUCAUGUAAAUUUUGAGUUUAUGAAUAUAAUGUUGUUAUUUAAUGUAAGUAGUUGAAUAGUUUUUGACAAUAUAAAUUUUUUCAUUUUAAUUUUAUUAUUGUUUAAUCUAUUUAUUACAAAGUUAUUUUUGUAUGUUUUUAAUACAAUGUAACACUUGAGCUUUUCUUAUGUAUUUAAUGUUAAAGCUCAAGUGUGCUUUACAUAUAUAUAUAGAUAUAGAUGGGUUGGGGCCGGGGUAUUGUGGCGAGGAAAGGCCGUGACGAAUUUCAUUGAAUUGAUUAUCUUAUGACGCUUGGUUUUUGUUAUGAUGUUAGUCAUAUUCUAAGAGAGGGAAAUUCUGAGGCAGAAGUUUUGGCCAAGGAAGGGGACAGGGGGUUGCAAGCAAUCCUGUGUAGGUUUUUCAUGGGCAUAUUGCUUUGUAAUUAAUAUUCGACUUUUGAGACUUGGUUCUCUUUUAUCUUCAUGAAUAAAGUUGGGUUUUCAAAAGAAUAAAUAAAAAAUUAUUAUUUUCAAUUUAUUUGGUUUCUAAAUGUUUCCCCACAGUUGAUAUCCAUGAUUAAUCCCCUCGAGACUCUACGAUCGCGUUAAGUGGAUAGAUCUCUCACAACAAAAAUUUAUACAACUUAUGUCAUUAUUAUUUUUCUCUAUUAUGCUUCCUUAAUUAAUUUUUACUAAUAUAUCAUAGAUAAAAAAUAUUUAAAUAUUUUUCAAUAAUGCACAUAUAUGUUAUAGUUAAUAUUAAAUACCUUUUAGCGGCAUUUUUUCCUUUUACUAAUAUAUCAUAGAUAAAAAAGGACCUAGUCUAUUUGGUAACUAAUAUCAUAAUUUCACGUAAUGCACAAACGCUUAAUAAGCUAAAACAAACUCCACAUGACUUAGGUAGCGUUUGGUGACGGAACAGAACAUAACAUAACAGAACGGAACGGGACAGAACAUGAUGGAACAAGACAAUAAUGGUCUGUGUGUUGUGUUUGGUAACUCCUAGUCAUUAUAACAGAACCAUAAUUUUAAUUACAUAUAUAACCCUGCAUGAUUAAUAUUUGAUUGAGGAUAAAAAAAUUGAACAUGCAUAGAAACCGUUUGUUAUUUCUUAUUUCAUGAAAUAAUCACUUAUUUCUUUAAAAUAAUCACUUAUAUAUUAUUUAAGUUGUUUCAGUGUGCUUUUAAAAAAAUACAAAAUUUGAUUAUCUCUUUAAGCUAUUUUAAGUGCGUUUGUUUAGAUUAAUUUUUAGAGAUUUUGAGAAAAGCAUAAGUUUAUUUGUGUUUGACUACUCUAAUUAAAAUCGCUUUUUUUAAUCUCCUCUUGUCUAUCAUAAUAGAUUUUUAUGAUAAGUUAAAAGUAGUUUUUUCAAAUAAGUUGUUUUCAGCUUUUAAAAAAAGACGAAACGAACAUAAUAUGAUUUUUUGAAUUUAAAAAGUGAUUUUGGAUUAAAAUAAGUGAUUUUUUUAUCAAUUUUAUAAGUGAUUUUUUUAUCAAAAAAUUGAUUUUUCUAAAAUAAGUUGAAUCAAAUGAACUAUAAUUGGCUCGUUUGUCCACUGCUUAAAAAAGUGAUUUUUCUUUUGACAAAAAUAAUUGAUUUUAUUUUAAGUGAUUUUUUUGAAAAACAGAAAUUAUUUAACUUUGUCUACAAAUAUAAUAAGUACUUUUCACUUUAAGAAGUGAUUUAAAACUGUUUAGAUAAAAAGAUUUCAAAUAUAAAUUAGGAGUAUUUUUAACUGUGUAAAACUUUUAAGAGAGUGUUCUGUUUCGUUCUCUUCCGUUCCACCCUUUUCCAGGGAACCAAAGUGUCCCGUUUCUUGAGCUUUUUGAACUGAUCCGUUCCAUCUUAAAAGCAUGACAAACACAGAACAUAACCCAUACGUCAUGUUCCGUUCCCUUCCCACCUGUUUACCAAACGCUACCUUAAUAUUGUUGUCCAAUAUUUUAAUAGAAGCUUUUUGUUUAGUAUCUAGAUAUCAGUAGGAUUUGAACCCUGGACUUGGAGAAUUCUAAUCCAUCAAGUAUCAUUUAAGCUAUUCAUACCAGUAUAUUUUAAUAGAAGUUGUCCACCUCAGGUGAAAAAAAAAAAGGAAUUUGUGCCUUCUCUCUAAAUUCGAACACAUGACUUGCCAAAAAAAAUAUUUUCUCCAUGACAACAUGUAUAAUUUUAAUUUGUAUAAGAACUCAGUAUAUAUUAUUUGUUAUAUGUAUUUCCGGUUGUAAUAGGUUGAACCAAUGACUCAGUGGUUGAACCAUUGAUGGGUGAAUAUUAUUAUUAUUAUUAUUAUUAUUAUUAUUAUUAUUAUUAUUAUAAAAUAAGAUGAUUUGAAAAUUUAAGGGUGGAAGAAAAUAUGCUUAUGAAGAGAAUGAUUAUCUUAGGGUCAAAGUUCUGAAUAUAUUAGUGCCUUAAUAUAGGAUUAUUAGAAAUUAAAUUGAACGAAAAUCAAAUAAAAUAUAAUACUUUGACAAAUGAUGAAAAACUCAAACCUCAUUUACACACACCUUGACUAAUUCAUAGACUUGAUUAAUUAAGCUGCAAUCAGAGGUAUUAAAUGGUGAUUUAGUGCAGAACACUUGUCUUCAUGGUGAAGUGACAAGUCUAAGAACACUUGUCUUUGUGCAUGCACUUUUAUGGCCACUUGUCCUUCAACUUUCUUCAACCCUUGCCCUAUAAAUUCGACCUUUCUGCAGCCCUAAGGUCACACCACACCUCAGGCUCAACCUUGCUUGAGAAAUCAGAGAGAGAAGCUCUCAAUUUUCCUUACAAACCUUCAACUUGUUCUUCAUUUUCUCCUUCUUGUUCUUCACGAAAUUCUCUUUCUUUUUCUCCAAAACCACUUCAAUUAUGUUUCUGGGUGUGUGAGGAUUAAAUAUGGAGAGUUUGGCAAACUUCUGGGCACGAAAUCAUCAAUUCUGGGUUCAAUCUUCAACUUCUUCUUCAUCUUCAACCUUCUCAAAUCACUCCAAAACCACCACCAUCAUGUUCCUAGAAGCCUAAAUAUCAAUUAUGGAAAGUUUUAUAAAAUUAUGGGUUGAUUUGGGCUAUUUCUGGGCUCAAUAUUCAAGUUGUUCAUCGUGUUCAUCGCUGCACCGUGUUGUCCAGUUUUCCGGCAAAAAUCGUCAACUUAAAACGUGUUUUUCUCCCUCUUCCGAACUAUGAUUGCGACGAUUCAAAAGCCUUUGUUCUUCUGGAAGAAAGGAGAAUCUGAAUCCGUGAUCCAUUUAUCUCCGGCAAUGAACGCCGCCGCCGCCGCAUCUUCAUCUUCUCCGAUGAGUUAAUUUCUGGAAAUUUCCAGAUUUGCAAUUUUCAGGUUCUUUCACUUCCAGAACCUAAUUUUUAAGCUUAUAUUAAUGAUUUUAAGCAUGGAAAACAUACAUUACAACCCUUAAUUCAUGAAAGAUUGGACUUUAAGUUUAAAUGGUCUAAAAAUGGUGACUUUCAUGAUUAUCACAACUUGAAAUUUUAUCUUUAUGUGAUUUCUUAAACUUGACAGAUUAUGAUUAUGUCAAAAUGAUGCAUAUUUUGUUAGCUUUUUCUAAUAUUAAUUUAUGGAAUUAUUAGUGAUUAACUAGUCAAAUUAAGUGGGAAAUUUCUAACAAAACUCAAUGGUGAAAUGCUAAUCUGGAAUUGAUGGUGAAAUGUUUAAGCACGAAGGAACUAAAGUGAAGAACUAACCUAAGUGUAUGAGAGCUAAUUAGUUAAGAGAAAUUAAUUAAUGACUAGAUUAACUUAUCCAAACAAAUUAAGGAUUUAUCAACUAGAAUCCUUACUUUUUCUCAUCAUUAUAAGGCUAUGAGUUUUAGAAUGAUUGAAAUGGUUAAGUAACAAACGGGAACGGAAGGUAAUUAAGAAGCGCAUGUUUUCAUGAAGUUAUAUACUAAGUGAAUUGUAACCAUAAUUCUAUGCAGAGGAAACUCAUGAGGAUUGACGAAUACGAUAAUUAUCAAGGAACUACGGUAAGAUUGGGAGGGGUCACCAACCAUGAUGGGGGAAUAAUACGAAUAAAUGAGUAUUGGACCCUCAGGUCCUUUGCCGAUUGUUUAUUGUGAAUUUGCCUUAACUUGUAUGCUUUAUGUCGUUGAGUGACUAAGUGGUUAAGAAGAUUGAAGUGAUAUUUGUCUCUUGAUGAUUUUCGUGAUUUGGAAUUAUAACCCUGAUUGUCUUGAUAGAUUAGGCUUGGCUCUGUGAGCAAGGUGAUGUUGAUAGCCUUGGCUCCGUGAGCAAGGUGAUGUUGAUGGAUUAGCCUUGGCUCUGUGAGCAAGGUGAUGUUGAUGGAUAAGUCUAGGCCCCGUGGGCGAACUUAUGUAACCCUCUGGCUCCUUGAGUAGAGGUGUGAUUGAUGAUUUGUUUCUUGGCUUUGUGAGUAAGGAUGUAUGUGCACACAUGAUUUCUCUUGGCUUCGUGAGCAAGAAUGAACCUAAGGGAUUCCCUUGGUCCCGUGGACAAGGAUUUUGAUCUUGGCUCCGUGAGCAAGAACGAUGUCUUGAUCCUGUGGACAAGGUUUGCUUUGGCUCCGUGAGCAAAGCCAUAUGAUUCUUAUGUCUGAUUAUGUAUUUCUUGGUGGAAAUGAACAUGAUAUGCAUGUUUAUGCGUGACUCAUUUAUGUUACGUUAUUCCCUGAUGAGAUUGAGUUGGAAUGCUUCUCACCUCUCUGUUGUGUGUUUUGUUGUUUUUCUCCUCUUUUAUCAGUGACAGACACUGAAGAUAGAGAUUGAGAUGUUGAGAGAUGUGGGGCAAGACUUUGAGCGUAGAUCGAGUUUUGUGCGCUGAAAUUGCAUUUUCCAAUGAUUGAACCUUGGACCUCUCUCACCCAACUCAUAUGUCCCCUAGCUCUUACCACUUGAGGACAUGUAGGCUCAUUGUUGAGUAAAUAAUAUUUAAAAAAAAUCAAUCAAAUAAAUUUUCUCAAGAAUAAAAAAAAGAGGAAAUUUUAUUAAAUUUGAGUUUAAAAGAAGGAAGUUUCUAGAACGGAAGGAAGUUUCAUUCACAAGAGGCUGAAAACCUUUCCCACACAAUGGAAGGCAUCUCGUGGAGGAUCCAUGCACGCCUCUUCCGUGGCAAUAGAAACGUGGUAACCAUCAGGAGCAUCAAUGCAAGGCAGGUCUUCGACAAGCGUGGCAAUCCAACCAUCCAGGUUGGCUUCCUCUUCCUCUUCCUCUUCCAUUUCCACACUUGCUAUUUUCUCCCCUCCCUCUUCUGACUAUCACUGCAGGUGGAUUUGACAUGCUCCGAUGAUACUCUCUCUACUUUUGUCCUCCCAGUAUCAAGCGGUGUAUCUACUGGUAUUCUUCGCUCAUUUUCCUUAGAAGCGCAAGUGUCUUUAUUUGUUUAAUUCUCUGUGUUUGUCUACUUCUCAGACUUUGUGCUUGUCUUUAAAUCCGAUGGCAUUUUCUCUUUUCUUCUAGUAUAGCACUUUCAAAAUUGACUGUGACUGAAAUAGGGCUGGUAGAUAUAGCUACUUUAAAAUGUAGCGGUGCUAUUUGGUUUGGUUAUGGUAGGCUGCUUACUCCAACUAAUCCUAUGAAAAAAAUUUUAAAUAUUUACUUUAAAAUGUUAUUAGGGAUUGACAAGGCCCUUGAAUCGAGAGACGGAAGAUCAGACUACCUUGUAAAAGGUGUAUCAAAGGUACUCUCAUGUCUCAGGAAAGGUUGUCUUGUGAUUGGUCUACCACCGUUGUAUUAUUUUCACCUAUUUUUUCUGGAACUUGCAGGCUGUUGACAAUGUGAACAACAUCAUUGCCCCUGCAUUGAUCGACAUGGUUGGUUAUAUUUACUUUUCACCUGUGUUUUUGCUGAACCAUUUUUCCUUUUAUGUUAGGAUUUGUUAAUUAUUCCCUUAGUAUUGUAGUUCUGCGAUUUUAAGCCUACAACAUUUAAGGUUAGUAAUGAUACUAAAGCUUCUUUGGAUUGAAGAAAUUUUUCUGUUUUCUUGUGUGACAAUGAAAAGGAUCCAACUCAGCAGACAGAUAUUGACAACCUAAUGGUUCAACUGCUUGGUGGAAGUGUUAAUGAAUGGGGUUCGUGCAAGGAAAAGGUGCUUAGCAGACCAUAUUUGUAAUCAUUCAUUUUUACUAUGCUAUGUGUAAUUCUAAUGCAUAUUUUGUUGUUUUAGCUUGGGGCAAAUGCCAUAUUAGCAGUGUCAAUUGCAGUCUGCAAAGCUGGUGCAAGUGUCCUGAAAAUUCCUCUGUACAAGGUAUUUGAGCAUGAACUGUGAUACUAAAUCAUUUUAAGUUCAGUCUCUUCAUGGGAUCCAUAUUGUACAAUUGAAGCUGUUCAUGCAGUUGACUAAGUUGUAUGAAAUUCUGUUUCCAAGGUCAACAUGGUAAAUAGAUGUAUACUGUCAGAUUGAUUUAAAUAAAUAUUUACAAUGAAUUAUUUGGUUACAUGAUGCAUAUCUGCAAAUUCUUACAGCAGUGCCAACAAACACCCCCCUCUCAGUUUUCUUCCGUAUUAGCAGGGAUGUUUAUAGCGGCCGAGAGGAGUGGCGGCCAGAGACCAGUUGACAACGGAAGGUGUAGUGAGGCAUUCAAGGUUCGCGGUCGCCGCAGCCGCUUUAGUGGCAAAAUUCGCCGCCAUUGCGCCACUACACCGCCACUACAAGGAUUAGGGUUCUUUGAAGGAGAAGAAGGUUCAAGAAAGUAAAAAAUACCCGUAGAAUUAGAACGUUAGGGGCUAGGGCUAUUAGUUGAGGGUGUUUUUCAUUUUUCGGUUCUAAUAGCUCAACCUAAAGAGGGCCCUGAAAAACAAAACUUUCAUUGUGCACUGCCCUCUUCCAACUUUCUUCUCCUUUAGAUCCUUACUCCUGCACCUCCACCACUUGGACCACCUUCCAGCGUUUUAGGAUGACUUUUCCAUCCUCAUUUCUCCUUCUCC